GGUCUCACUAUGUAGUUCAGAGUGACCUGGAACUCACUAUGUAGCCCAGGCUGGUCCUGAACUCACAGCGAUCUUCCUGCCUCGGCCUCCCGAGUGCUGGGAUUACAGGCGUGUGCCACCAUGCCUG
RNAcentral lists this microRNA precursor (127 nucleotides) under Fukomys damarensis (Damara mole-rat). RNAcentral's name for it is "miRNA (ENSFDAG00000003877.1)". The record is from RNAcentral. Lineage: Eukaryota; Metazoa; Chordata; Mammalia; Rodentia; Bathyergidae.